RNAcentral lists this ribosomal RNA (254 nucleotides) under uncultured bacterium. Its description in RNAcentral is "partial 16S ribosomal RNA". It matches the Rfam family "Bacterial small subunit ribosomal RNA", at positions 524 to 776 of the family's 1533-position model. The record is from RNAcentral.
UACGUAGGGUGCGAGCGUUGUCCGGAAUUAUUGGGCGUAAAGAGCUCGUAGGCGGUGUGUCGCGUCGGCCGUGAAAACCUGGGGCUUAACUCUGGGCGUGCGGUCGAUACGGGCAUCACUAGAGUUCGGCAGGGGAGACUGGAAUUCCUGGUGUAGCGGUGAAAUGCGCAGAUAUCAGGAGGAACACCGGUGGCGAAGGCGGGUCUCUGGGCCGAUACUGAUGCUGAGGAGCGAAAGCAUGGGUAGCGAACAGG